Long non-coding RNA from Neodiprion fabricii, 548 nucleotides. RefSeq lists it as uncharacterized. The transcript has 4 exons. The record is from RefSeq and is a predicted model, not a curated record. NCBI's taxonomy places the organism in Eukaryota, Metazoa, Arthropoda, Insecta, Hymenoptera, Diprionidae.
AUGUAAGAACAUUGAUUGGGACUUGCAAUCGUCGCGUUGAAUUGAUUGAUGUUGAACCCGGAAAAUAUUGGCAUGUGUCUAUUAUGGGAAGGGUAAGCCAAAAGACCCGAACAAUUUCUUUAAAAUGUUCACAAAUGAAGUCCAAGAGGUUUUCGCCAGCGGUGGUAUCCAUUUCAAGAAUCAUUUAGUAAAAAUAAAAUUCAGAUGCUUCAUAGCUGAUGCUCCGGGUUGAUACCUUGGAGGUAUUUAAGAGUUUGAAGAAGAUCCUGAAAGACAACGAUCUCUAAGACACUAUCUUAUUAACGUUGGUGGUGUCACAGCUAGAGAUGCUCUCAACCAAUUUCUGAAGGAAGCCAUGACGGAUAGCCUGACACAAAAAUUCUCUUGGACUGGAAAGUCUGUUUCAGAUAAAGAGAAUCUCCGACCGUUAUUUAAUACCUGUAUCGGAAAGGUAUUUUUUGAUGCUUUACGUGAGUGUUGAACAAUACCACAGCCACAUGAUCGUACAGAAUUUGCGAGACUGAUGCAAGAGGCAAUUCGGGGCGCAC